This 418-nucleotide small nuclear RNA is filed under the name Mesocricetus auratus (golden hamster). Its description in RNAcentral is "7SK RNA". It matches the Rfam family "7SK RNA". Rfam says of the family: 7SK was discovered as an abundant small nuclear RNA in the mid-70s but a possible function has only recently been suggested. Two independent studies have found that 7SK RNA binds the CDK9/cyclin T complex (known as elongation factor P-TEFb). The record is from Rfam by way of RNAcentral. Lineage: Eukaryota; Metazoa; Chordata; Mammalia; Rodentia; Cricetidae.
GGAUAUGAGGGCAAUCUGGAUGCAGCAUCUGUCACCUCAUUGAUUGCCAGGGUUGAUGUGACCAAUAGCACUGGCUUGGGGGGUGCCUCCCUCUUCCUCAACAACCCAUGCAUAUCCCCCCAGAACUGACACUUUGUUUUUGAGACAUGGUUUGUACGUAGCUUUGGUGUCUGUCCUGGAGUUCUGUAGAUCAGGCUGAUCUCAGAUUCACAGAGAUCUGCCUGCUUCUGCCUCCUGAGUUCUGGGAUCAAAGGCAUGAGCCACUGCCCAGCCAGAACUGAGCCAACCAUAUACACAUGGCUUCACUCUCCAGCUAGAACCUCCAGACAAGUUCUCAGAAUAUAAGUUCUCUAUUCUAAAAUAGAGCAUUGUCUUAUACUUAGACUUUAGUGUGUUUCUGGCAAAUUUUACUUUAUGU